This 417-nucleotide ribosomal RNA is filed under the name uncultured bacterium. RNAcentral's name for it is "bacterial SSU rRNA". It matches the Rfam family "Bacterial small subunit ribosomal RNA", at positions 360 to 793 of the family's 1533-position model. The record is from RNAcentral.
AAUAUUGGACAAGUGGCGCAAGCCUGAUCCAGCCAUGCCGCGUGAGUGAUGAAGGCCGUUAGGGUUGUAAAGCUCUUUUGUCCGGGACGAUAAUGACGGUACCGGAAGAAUAAGCCCCGGCUAACUUCGUGCCAGCAGCCGCGGUAAUACGAAGGGGCUAGCGUUGCUCGGAAUCACUGGGCGUAAAGGGCGCGUAGGCGGCCUUGUAAGUUGGGGGUGAAAGCCCCGUGGCUCAACCACGGAAUUGCCUUCGAUACUGCUUGGCUUGAGUGUGGUAGAGGUUGGUGGAACUGCGAGUGUAGAGGUGAAAUUCGUAGAUAUUCGCAAGAACACCGGUGGCGAAGGCGGCCAACUGGACCAUCACUGACGCUGAGGCGCGAAAGCGUGGGGAGCAAACAGGAUUAGAUACCCUGGUAG